This 253-nucleotide ribosomal RNA is filed under the name uncultured bacterium. Its description in RNAcentral is "partial 16S ribosomal RNA". It matches the Rfam family "Bacterial small subunit ribosomal RNA", at positions 524 to 776 of the family's 1533-position model. The record is from RNAcentral.
UACAGAGGGUGCAAGCGUUAAUCGGAAUUACUGGGCGUAAAGCGUGCGUAGACGGUUAUGUAAGUCGGGUGUGAAAGCCCCGGGCUCAACCUGGGAAUUGCAUUCGAGACUGCAUAGCUAGGGUGCGGAAGAGGGAAGCGGAAUUUCCGGUGUAGAGGUGAAAUUCGUAGAUAUCAGGAGGAACACCGGUGGCGAAGGCGGCUUCCUGGACACUAACUGACGCUGAGACGCGAAAGCGUGGGGAGCAAACGGG